Molecule: ribosomal RNA, 253 nt
Filed under: uncultured bacterium
Lineage: Bacteria
Description: partial 16S ribosomal RNA
Rfam family: Bacterial small subunit ribosomal RNA
Source: RNAcentral
UACAGAGGUCCCAAGCGUUGUUCGGAUUCACUGGGCUUAAAGAGUUCGUAGGCGGCGCAGAAAGUAGGGUGUGAAAGCCCUCGGCUCAACCGAGGAAUUGCGCUCUAAACUACUGUGCUUGAGGGACCUAGAGGUGAGCGGAACUGAUGGUGGAGCGGUGAAAUGCGUUGAUAUCAUCAGGAACACCGGAGGCGAAGGCGGCUCACUGGGGGUCUUCUGACGCUGAGGAACGAAAGCCAGGGGAGCGAACGGG